RNAcentral lists this transfer RNA (90 nucleotides) under Hansschlegelia plantiphila. Its description in RNAcentral is "tRNA-Ser". It matches the Rfam family "tRNA". Rfam says of the family: Transfer RNA (tRNA) molecules are approximately 80 nucleotides in length. Their secondary structure includes four short double-helical elements and three loops (D, anti-codon, and T loops). The record is from RNAcentral. Lineage: Bacteria; Pseudomonadati; Pseudomonadota; Alphaproteobacteria; Hyphomicrobiales; Methylopilaceae.
GGAAGGGUGGCCGAGCGGUUUAAGGCAGCGGUCUUGAAAACCGCCGUGCGGGCGACCGCACCGUGGGUUCGAAUCCCACCCCUUCCGCCA